RNAcentral lists this long non-coding RNA (442 nucleotides) under Zea mays. RNAcentral's name for it is "drought responsive lncRNA". The record is from RNAcentral. Lineage: Eukaryota; Viridiplantae; Streptophyta; Magnoliopsida; Poales; Poaceae.
UCCUCCCAGAAUCUCACCUUCCCCCGCGUGCACCGACUGCUUUUCUCCCGCGUGCGCUGGCUGCUUUUGGCCACCGAUACGCUGCGUCGGCGCUCCAAAGUUCCAGGUCAGGAGAGGCUAGAGUUCCAAAUCGUAGUUCGUGUGAACCAGUGUGAACCAGUUGAAUCUCAUCAAUCUUAUCAAGUCAUCUAAUAAAAAAAGGUUCGACGCGUCUUAGAGUUCUACGAUGCAUCCAAGAAUUCAGAGAACGUUGACAAAUAUAUAGAUCAGCUGACCAACAAUGAAUUGUCAUCACCACCCAAAAAGAUGAAGCACACCCAGGUUAACAAAGCCAUUCCAGAUUCUACAUGUUCCAAGAAUGACAACAGUUAGACCAUCCUGAAAUACAUCAAGGUUGGGCGGCUUCCGAAGUCAUUCAGACCUGCGUCCGAGCCUACAUCAU